RNAcentral lists this ribosomal RNA (406 nucleotides) under uncultured bacterium. Its description in RNAcentral is "partial 16S ribosomal RNA". It matches the Rfam family "Bacterial small subunit ribosomal RNA", at positions 30 to 526 of the family's 1533-position model. The record is from RNAcentral.
AUUGAACGCUGGCGGCAGGCCUAAUACAUGCAAGUCGAACGAGUGGCGGACGGGUGAGUAAUGUCUGGGAACCUGCCUGAUGGAGGGGGAUAACUACUGGCAACGGUAGCUAAUACCGCAUACCAGAGGAUGUGCCCAGCUGGGAUUAGCUAGUAGGUGGGGUAACGGCUCACCUAGGCGACGAUCCCUAGCUGGUCUGAGAGGCUGACCAGCCACACUGGGACUGAGACACGGUCCAGACUCCUACGGGAGGCAGCAGUGGUGAAUAUUGCACAAUGGUCGCAAGCCUGAUGCAGCCAUGCCGCGUGUAUGAAGAAGGCCUUCGGGUUGUAAAGUACUUUCAGCGGGGAGGCGUUACCCGCAGAAGAAGCACCGGCUAACUCCGUGCCAGCAGCCGCGGUAAUUC